This 738-nucleotide long non-coding RNA is filed under the name Bos indicus x Bos taurus (hybrid cattle). RNAcentral describes it as "lncRNA (ENSBIXG00005023988.1)". Lineage: Eukaryota; Metazoa; Chordata; Mammalia; Artiodactyla; Bovidae. The record is from RNAcentral.
CAAAGCCUUUCCCCAACCUCCCCGGGGGAGUGAGUGCCUGCCAGUCAGCUCAUUUACAUUGUAAUAAGAGUCUGUCUGUCUUUUUAUCUUGAAAAAAAAAAAAUGAGUGUCUUUGACAGUAAUUCUUCCCUGAUGAGAUGUCUGAUAGGCUGCCUUUCCUAGACAAAAAGUUGCUGUAUCACAGUGUUUUACAGAUAAGAGGAAAACUGUCAAGAUCCAAAUAAAGGUGGUGCUCAGACAGUAAAGAAUUUGCCUGGAAUGUGAGGGAGAUCUGAGUUCAAUUCCUGGGUCAGGAAGAUCCCCUGGAGAAGGGAAUGGAAACCCACUCCAGUAUUCUUGCCUGGAGAAUUCCAUGGACAGAGGAGCCUAUCGGGCUACAGUCCAUGGAGUCGAAAAGAGUUGGAUGUGACUGAGCAACUAACAUUGGUUCUUAGCUCUGCCUCUCUAGUCCUGACAUUCCCCUGGAGAGUCCUGCAGAGCCGUAUCUCUGGAAAGGAGAAGCAGAGGUGGCUGCAGCCCUCGUGGAGGAUGAGAGAACACACCCACAGGAGCCAGAAUCACUGCAUUUCAUCUCACUUCAGAAGUCCUCAAAUGCAAGAAGAACCACCAGGGAGCAGGAGGAAGAAAAGGAGGAAGAAGACAAGAAUUCUGCCAUCACAUGGCUUCUUUAUUGUGAUCAGGAAUUUCCGGAUGCUUUGUUGUCAACUGCACGAAGUCAGAUAUACUCAAUAUUUUUAA